GAUGAACGCAGGCGGCGUGCCUAAUACAUGCAAGUCGAGCGAACAGACGAGGAGCUUGCUCCUCUGACGUUAGCGGCGGACGGGUGAGUAACACGUGGAUAACCUACCUAUAAGACUGGGAUAACUUCGGGAAACCGGAGCUAAUACCGGAUAAUAUAUUGAACCGCAUGGUUCAAUAGUGAAAGACGGUUUUGCUGUCACUUAUAGAUGGAUCCGCGCCGCAUUAGCUAGUUGGUAAGGUAACGGCUUACCAAGGCAACGAUGCGUAGCCGACCUGAGAGGGUGAUCGGCCACACUGGAACUGAGACACGGUCCAGACUCCUACGGGAGGCAGCAGUAGGGAAUCUUCCGCAAUGGGCGAAAGCCUGACGGAGCAACGCCGCGUGAGUGAUGAAGGUCUUCGGAUCGUAAAACUCUGUUAUUAGGGAAGAACAAAUGUGUAAGUAACUAUGCACGUCUUGACGGUACCUAAUCAGAAAGCCACGGCUAACUACGUG
RNAcentral lists this ribosomal RNA (497 nucleotides) under uncultured bacterium. RNAcentral describes it as "partial 16S ribosomal RNA". It matches the Rfam family "Bacterial small subunit ribosomal RNA", at positions 28 to 507 of the family's 1533-position model. The record is from RNAcentral.